Molecule: long non-coding RNA, 1273 nt
Organism: Bombyx mori (domestic silkworm)
Lineage: Eukaryota; Metazoa; Arthropoda; Insecta; Lepidoptera; Bombycidae
Exons: 4
Source: RefSeq, a predicted model, not a curated record
UGGAGUUUACUCCUUUAGAAUCGAUUUACAUAUAUAGGCCCGGGGUAUGAAAAUUAUGGGGACCAAAAUCGUACUAGCAUGUCACACGAAAUGCGUUAUGCGCCUGAUUGGCUCCUGAUUGCGUGAUGCGUGCGCGCGCCAAUCAAUAUCGUACUAGUAUGUCACACGAAAUGCGUUAUGCGCCUGAUUGGCUCCUGAUUGCGUGAUGCGUGCGCGCGCCAAUCAGGAGCCAACGCGCGGCCGCGUUAUCGCAGGUGACGCCGGGCUGCUGCGCCGGCAGUCCGCCACAAAGCCUCGUACUGAUCGCGCGUUUCUCUCAUUAUUGUAUUUUCAUAUAUUUGUUAGUCGUUUGUUUUGUGUCUCGUUAAUUUGUUAAUAAUCUGUAGUGUAUCGUGUUGUCGUAAUAUAGAACUAUUUCUCGUAUUGUUUCGUUUAAUUUUUUAUAUCCAGUAAACUCCAGUCGUGCGUCGGAGCGGACACACACACUUUUUACCUCCUUUUUUUAAGGUUUCGCAAUAAACAAAGAACGCAGCGACGGCGACUCACGUACAGUUCGACAGAUAAGAAGUCGACCGGUCGCAAAUUGCCCGCGCGAAUGGCGAGCUGUCACUUGUCACCGUGUCAGAGACGUCAAGCUGUCAGGCGAGUUGACACCCGCCGGGCGACACCGCGGAUUUACAUAAAACUGGGUCGCGGACCGCACUUCGGGAGGAGGCCAUUUAUCACAUUGUCGAACGGGCGACGGCACUUUUGAUCCGCUCAAACGAUGGACAUGUAAAUUUACAACGAUCGCAAUUACAUCCGGUUUAUUUCAAUUGGCCUGGUGAAUAACCAGGCGUCGAAUUUUCGUAAGGAUAAUGCCGGUUUUCCCCCGAUAAUACCAUAACAGAAUAUUCCUUUUCCAUUUUUUUUUCUUUUCAAGCACCAAUAGCUAAAGAAACGUUUACUAUAAACUAUGUACUUAUAUGUAUUUUUUAUCUCUGGAAUGCUCUUUAAAGCUCACAUAUUCUCUCAUUAUCUACUGUUUUAUUUUGUGUCGAAACAAUCUAUCUGUAUUUCUCAAUCGGAUGUUAGAGUAACCUUAAAAACCCUAAUCAAACCCACUAUUAACUUGUCAACACUGUUAUUAAGCAGGCAAAGGGCAGAUUUCAUUAUCAACCCGACAUUUGACACUUGCAAUAAAUCAUAAGAAAAGAUAAACAGAUUUAGGUCAAGCAUAGUUGAUAAUGCAAAAUAGCUAGUGAUUAUUCAUAGGUUCGAAUCAUUAUCAAUG